UACGAAGGGGGCUAGCGUUGCUCGGAAUCACUGGGCGUAAAGGGUGCGUAGGCGGGUCUUUAAGUCAGGGGUGAAAUCCUGGAGCUCAACUCCAGAAUUGCCUUUGAUACUGAAGAUCUUGAGUCCGGGAGAGGUGAGUGGAACUGCGAGUGUAGAGGUGAAAUUCGUAGAUAUUCGCAAGAACACCAGUGGCGAAGGCGGCUCACUGGCCCGGUACUGACGCUGAGGCACGAAAGCGUGGGGAGCAAACAGG
Molecule: ribosomal RNA, 253 nt
Filed under: uncultured bacterium
Lineage: Bacteria
Description: partial 16S ribosomal RNA
Rfam family: Bacterial small subunit ribosomal RNA
Source: RNAcentral